RNAcentral lists this long non-coding RNA (415 nucleotides) under Homo sapiens (human). Its description in RNAcentral is "non-protein coding lnc-OR10AG1-1:1". The record is from RNAcentral. Lineage: Eukaryota; Metazoa; Chordata; Mammalia; Primates; Hominidae.
GUGACUCUUAUUUAAAAAAAAUAACUUAUGUGACAUCCCCUCAAUACUCAACGCUGGCCUGUGGAGAUACUUUUGUGAAUGAGAUGUUGCUCUUUACAGAUGUUGUGCUGUUUGCUAUGAACUCUUUUAUGAUGAUACUUGGCUACUACAGGAAAAUCAUCUUCACCAUCUUGAAGUCUCCAUCAGAAACAGGACAAGUCAUAGGCUCCUCCACCUGCUCAUCUCAUGUCAUAGUUGUGGCUUUAUUCUGUAGAUCCAGAAUCAUUACAUACAUAUGACCUAAAUCCAAACAUUCUUCCAUAAGAUGCAAAUUUUUAUCUCUUUUCUAUAUCAUUGUCAACUCAGUGUUUAACCUCAUGAUCUACAAUGUGAGGAAGAGAUUAAAAAUGGCUUUGUGAAAAUUCCUGCCUAUUUA